AAAAGAAAUUAGAGUUGGGGUUGGGAUUAAUUGAUUGUUGGAUUUUGGAUUUUGGAUUUAACUUUUUUUUUUUUUUUUUUUUUUUUUUUUUUG
Molecule: non-coding RNA, 93 nt
Filed under: Compsopogon caeruleus
Lineage: Eukaryota; Rhodophyta; Compsopogonophyceae; Compsopogonales; Compsopogonaceae
Source: RNAcentral